This is a non-coding RNA of Malus domestica (apple), 1498 nucleotides long. The record is from RefSeq and is a predicted model, not a curated record. Lineage: Eukaryota; Viridiplantae; Streptophyta; Magnoliopsida; Rosales; Rosaceae.
CUCCCCAUUCAGUCAGACACCUCUUCUUCUCUCGCCACAUCAUCCUCUCCACCCAUACGCCAAUCCCAUCAUCCUAAGCAACCUCCGAUUUGGCAUAAAGACUAUCACGUAACUAACCAAGUCAGUCAUUUUCCUUCGCAGCCUCAUCCUCCCUCAAGUACUUGGUAUCCUCUUUCUAAUUUUCUUUCAUACUCACAUCUUUCUCCUACCCACUAUGCUUUUCUAGCUACCAUUACAAGUCUCACCAAUCCCACUUCCUAUGCUCAGGCUAUCCUUGAUCCCAAUUGGCGACAGGCUAUGCAUGAUGAAUUAGAGGCUUUACAACACAAUAAUACCUGAAGCAUGGUUCCCAUGCCUGCUAGUCACAAACUCAUUGGAUGCAAAUGGGUUUAUAAAAUCAAAUACAAGUCUGAUGGUACCAUUGAACGGUACAAGGCUCGUCUUGUUGCAAAUAGAUACACUUAAGUUAAGGGUGUCAACUAUCAGGAAACUUUUUCUCCUACAACCAAACUCACCAAUCUCUGCUAUCUCCUUACGAGGGAGAACAUUGUAUGCCAGCUCAACAAAUCUCUUCACGGACUCAAACAGGCUUCUAGAAAUUGGUUUUCCACAUUUUCAGCUACCAUUCAGACAGCUGGCUAUCAACAAUCAAAAGCUGAUUAUUCUCUUUUACCAAGGCUCAAGGUACUUCAUUCAUUGUUGUCCUCAUCUAUGUAGAUGAUAUACUUCUUACAGGAAAUGAUCUUCAAGAGAUGGAACGACUCAAAACAUUUCUUCUCACACGCUUCCGCAUCAAAGACCUUGGUGAUUUAAAAUAUUUUUUGGGGAUUGAAUUCUCUCGUUCUAAGAAAAGCAUUUUCAUGUCUCAAAGAAAAUAUGCACUAGAUAUUUUGCAGGAUUCUGAACUUACGGAGGCACGUUCAGACAAGUUUCCAAUGGACAAAAUUUGAAACUCGCUCCCACUGACAGAGCAUUGUUAGAUGAUCCCACCAAGUACAAAAGACUAGUCGGACGAUUGAUUUAUCUCACUGUCACCAGGCAUGACAUAGUCUUUUUAGUUCGCACAUUGAGUCAAUUUAUGCAUGAGCCUUGCAAACCUCAUUGGGUUGCAUCUUUACGAAUUCUCAAGUAUAUCAAAGGCACUCUUGGUCAAGGCUUGUUAUUCCCUGCCUUUGAUAGUCUUGAAUUAAAGGCCUUUUGUGAUUCUGAUUGAGGAGGUUGUCGUGCCACUAGAAGGUCAGUUAUAGGGUAUUGUGUUUUUCUUGGAAAUUCUCUCAUCUCAUAGAAGUCCAAGAAACAAGACAAUGUUUCCAGAUCGUCUGCAAAAGCCGAAUAUCGGGCUAUGGCGAACAUAUGUUUAGAAUUAACUUGGUUGCACUAUAAUUACAAGAUUUGUAAAAGCUCCUAUACCAUUAUUUUGCGACAAUCAAGUCGCCCUGUAUAUUGCAGCUAAUCCCGUUUUUCAUGAGCAGACAAAGCAUAUUGAAAUUGAUUGUCA